RNAcentral lists this ribosomal RNA (253 nucleotides) under uncultured bacterium. RNAcentral describes it as "partial 16S ribosomal RNA". It matches the Rfam family "Bacterial small subunit ribosomal RNA", at positions 524 to 776 of the family's 1533-position model. The record is from RNAcentral.
UACGUAGGUGGCAAGCGUUGUCCGGCAUUAUUGGGCGUAAAGCGCGCGCAGGUGGUUUAAUAAGUCUGAUGUGAAAGCCCACGGCUCAACCGUGGAGGGUCAUUGGAACCUGUUAAACUUGAGUGCAGGAGAGAAAAGUGGAAUUCCUAGUGUAGCGGUGAAAUGCGUAGAGAUUAGGAGGAACACCAGUGGCGAAGGCGGCUUUCUGGACUGUAACUGACGCUGAGGCACGAAAGCAUGGGUAGCAAACAGG